UACGGGAGGCAGCAGUGGGGAAUAUUGCACAAUGGGCGCAAGCCUGAUGCAGCCAUGCCGCGUGUAUGAAGAAGGCCUUCGGGUUGUAAAGUACUUUCAGUCGUGAGGAAGGUGUUAAGGUUAAUAACCUUAGCAAUUGACGUUAGCGACAGAAGAAGCACCGGCUAACUCCGUGCCAGCAGCCGCGGUAAUACGGAGGGUGCGAGCGUUAAUCGGAAUUACUGGGCGUAAAGGGCACGCAGGCGGUUAAUUAAGUUGGAUGUGAAAUCCCCGGGCUUAACCUGGGAAUGGCAUUCAAGACUGGUUAGCUAGAGUCUUGUAGAGGGGGUAGAAUUCCAUGUGUAGCGGUGAAAUGCGUAGAGAUGUGGAGGAAUACCGGUGGCGAAGGCAGCCCCUGGGACAAAGACUGACGCUCAUGUGCGAAAGCGUGGGGAGCAAACAGGGAUUAGAUACC
This 454-nucleotide ribosomal RNA is filed under the name uncultured bacterium. RNAcentral's name for it is "bacterial SSU rRNA". It matches the Rfam family "Bacterial small subunit ribosomal RNA", at positions 340 to 786 of the family's 1533-position model. The record is from RNAcentral.